Molecule: transfer RNA, 71 nt
Filed under: Deltaproteobacteria bacterium
Lineage: Bacteria; Pseudomonadati; Myxococcota; Myxococcia
Description: tRNA-OTHER
Rfam family: tRNA
About the family: Transfer RNA (tRNA) molecules are approximately 80 nucleotides in length. Their secondary structure includes four short double-helical elements and three loops (D, anti-codon, and T loops).
Source: RNAcentral
GCGGGAAUAGCUCAACGGUAGAGCGUCAGCCUUCAAGCUGAGGGUUGCGGGUUCGAGUCCCGUUUCCCGCU